GCAUACCCCACAGGGAUUCAAAUUUUGACAGUGGUCGAAGCCUUAAUCGCAAAGUUCCCAUGUCUCAGGGAACCGGGGUCUUUUAAUGGCCUUUAUGGGUGGCAGCAGAGGAUGAAAUGGAAAAUGGGGAAUUACCGUGCAAAAUUGAGAGGCCGUCAACUUGCCUGUCCAGAGCUGGAAGUGAACUUGCUGAAAAGACAGAGGUCAAAUGAGAGUGGUUCAAGCAAAGGCAUCAAAAAGCCCAAGAAAGCAGAGGUAAACUACCUGCCUCCACUGCCAAUUGGGGACACGGAAGACACUUUAGAGAAGGAGAGGGUAGACAUGCUGCAAGAAAUUAAGAAGAAAAACAAUGAGCGGAUAAUAUCUGAGAAAAUGGAAAGAUCUUUCUCCUUCCGAAGACAGGAAGUUGUAAAGCAGUGCCCCGCCAUCCAAGAUUUCCGGGAGAGAUGGCCUGCUCUUUUCUCUGAAGCUCAGAUAAAGGAGGAAUUCAAAAGAAUCACAACGGUUCCCUUGGAAAGAACUUUUCUCACUAAGCUGGACUUCUACACUCCAAAAAUGCAGGAGAUAUUCAGCAAAAAAGGCGGAGUAGCUGGAACCAAAAUAUGACCACUUCUGGAUUCACUCAGCCAGCAACACGUUGAAGCGAGACGGGAGGCCAUUAUUCGCCCCCUGAUGGAAUUCCUGGGGGAGUCUUCAGGGGAACUCAUCAAGGACUACAAGGAUAUCAACAGAGAGGCAGCUCAAGAGGACCAGGCUGAGCAAGUUCUAAAGAUCUGUGUCUUCCACACAAGUGGAGCAGAUGCAGCCAACGCUGAUGUGUCUAUUGUUGUCGAAGGGACUGAGGUACUCCACAACUGUGGAAGUGUUGCAAAGGCCUGUCUCCUGCUGAUGGGCAUCAUUUAUGCUUCUUCUAGAGCUUGAUGUCCUUAAGCUGUCCCCGAAAAUCCUGUCUCUGCGAAACAAGCUUAUAGCUUGAGUGCUUGUUUGACCCAAGAGUUGUCGGGGCACUAAAAGAAAAAAACAGCACAGUUGUUUGUGUCUAUUUGUGUAUUUUCUUCUUUUUCUCUCGUUU
Long non-coding RNA from Larimichthys crocea (large yellow croaker), 1072 nucleotides. RefSeq lists it as uncharacterized. The record is from RefSeq and is a predicted model, not a curated record. Lineage: Eukaryota; Metazoa; Chordata; Actinopteri; Sciaenidae. The transcript has 4 exons.